Caerostris extrusa is the source of this 114-nucleotide non-coding RNA. NCBI's taxonomy places the organism in Eukaryota, Metazoa, Arthropoda, Arachnida, Araneae, Araneidae. The record is from the annotation of a GenBank genome assembly.
CUAUACCAUGCUGAAUAUACCGGUUCUCGUUCGAUCACUGAAGUCAAGCAUCUUGCAUCGGCGAUUGCAGCCAGUACCAGGACGGUGACCACCUAGGAACACCGCGUGCCGUUG